This is a long non-coding RNA of Hemicordylus capensis (graceful crag lizard), 856 nucleotides long. RefSeq lists it as uncharacterized. The record is from RefSeq and is a predicted model, not a curated record. The transcript is spliced from 5 exons. NCBI's taxonomy places the organism in Eukaryota, Metazoa, Chordata, Lepidosauria, Squamata, Cordylidae.
CACAAUUGCUACCUUUUAUAUUUCCAAGGGGAUUGCAUUCAUUUUUCUCUUUGUUGUUUUUACUGCAGCAGGAUAUGGCACUGGAAAUCGGAUGCAGCCAGCAGAGUUGAGGUGGGGAUGGCGAUGGCAGCAGGCAGGCCUCCAUAAUUAGAUCUGGUAUCUGAGAUCUCCAAAUGCCCUCUUACUUUUCCUUUGGCAAGGGACAGGAUUAUCCACACAUCUGAGGGACAAAAAAGUCUGCAGGAAGCUUCUAGCUCUGCAUCAGAAGUGUGCUCUAGUGAAUAUGCCGGGAAGAAGAGAUGGCUGAAGCAGCAACUCCACAGUGGAGCAGGGAGAAAGGACCAGGCUGGAACAAUGCUCUAAUCAGAAAGAGUAUGAGAUGCUGCCCUUGUGGUUCAUGGACCAGGAAAUGGCAGUGCAGUUCUUGGGACAGCAGACAAAGGACAUCAGACUGCAGAGACAGAAUUCAUGAAUAAAACUGAUCGCAUUCCUUGAGUUCUAAAAUAAGGAUUAUGGGCAAUCCUCUUACUGCUUAUUUGGUUCAGCAUUGUAUUAAUGUUUUAGUGCUCCAGAAAUCAGCAUGUGUUUUUGUAGUUCUCUAGUUAUCACCGUAGCUUAGAGUACAUUUUGAAACCUGUUUAAUGUGAAUCAGUUACCCUCAACAUUCUUUAACCUAAUUUAUUAUGGCACAGACAACCAUUUACCAAGUGAACACUUAUCAUUGUCUGCAUGUAACCACUUGACAAGUUGGUUAUCCAUAACAUCCUGCCAAGCAGCAAGAAUUUUGUCACUUCUUUGGUUCCUUGAUGUGUAAAUGCGUAGUAAAGUUGUUGAGACAAACUGGCAGAAUGUUAGA